This 583-nucleotide ribosomal RNA is filed under the name uncultured bacterium. RNAcentral describes it as "bacterial SSU rRNA". It matches the Rfam family "Bacterial small subunit ribosomal RNA", at positions 150 to 752 of the family's 1533-position model. The record is from RNAcentral.
CGGGAAACUGUGGCUAAUACCGCAUAAUCUCGCCGUAACGGGAGUCGGUAAGAAAAGGUGAGCCGAUUUGGGAGGGGCCUGCGGUCGAUUAGCUGGUUGGUGGGGUAACUGCCUACCAAGGCGAUGAUCGAUAGCUGUUUUGAGAGGAAGGCCAGCCACACGGGAAUUGAGACACGGUUCCGACUCCUACGGGGGGCAGCAGUGAGGAAUAUUGCGCAAUGGGGGAAACCCUGACGCAGCAACGCCGCGUGGAGGACGAAGGUUUUCGGAUUGUAAACUCCUUAACUGGGGGAAGAGAGAGGACGGUACCCCAGGACGAAGACGCGGCUAACUACGUGCCAGCAGCCGCGGUAACACGUAGGUGUCGAGCGUUAUCCGGAAUUACUGGGCGUAAAGGGUGCGCAGGCGGCGGUGCAAGUCUGGCGUGAAAGCUCCUGGCUUAACUGGGAGAGGACGUUGGAAACUGCAUGGCUAGAGUGAAUGAGAGGGGGGCGGAAAUCCCGGUGUAGUGGUGGAAUGCGUAGAGAUCGGGAAGAACUCCAGAGGCGAAGGCGGCCCCCUGGCAUUUGACUGACGCUGAGGC